AUGGCUAGCUGUGUCCUUGAAUUGGGAUCACCCGUCUCGAACUCACAGGUCUGUUUAUCUUCCUCACGUCGGUCAUGUGCGCACGUUUGCAUCGCUUGUCACCUGCGCUCUAUUUGUUUGUUUGGGGAGAAUUUGACAACCAAAUCCAUGGAAUUCUUGAAGUUUAUACGUGGCUUGUUGAUUCCGUGCAAAUCUUGUAAAAAUGCAUGCAAGAAACACAAGAAACAGUGUGCAACAUUUGAACACAACCGCACACUUUUUGUUAUCGUGUUUUACAGGAUGGAAAGUGGAGAUUGUAAUGGUCUUCGGCCACGUAUGCGAAUCAUCCCCGAAAUGCCUGCGUUUCCUGACCUGAAAAGCCCUAUUGUGAUGGAAGGCAGUCAGGCUGAGGAACGGCAGGGCUUUGGAGACCUCAUAAACAGCAACGGAAAAAUGGAAUUAGAAUAUGUGAUCAGCAAGAAACUGCAACUGAAGAUGAAAGCAGAGGUUUGUUAUAAGGAAAAAGCCUUAAUAUCUAAGUUAUUAUUCCUCUUUAUUACCAUUAUUAGGGGUCCAAGCCAACAGGAUUGGAUCCCUAUUGUUUUUGUAAGGAUUUUUAGGGGUCCAAGCCAACAGGUUGGAUCCCUAUUGUUUUUGUAGUGUUUAUUAUUAUACUUACCUCCUUGAAAGUGGUACCGCAGCCCAAACCGUAAAUGGUGCCGACACGCCAAUUGCAUGACUAGAUCCAGAUCCGUGGGGACUACGCAGACGCCAAAAUCCAGACAUGCCGGCCACUAGGUGGCGCUAUACCUAGGAAAACACGUUCGGGGCUAUAACUCCCACACCGAACCUUCCAGAGUCCAAAAACUUGUACCCAAAGAUGCACUGGAGUCUGCUGCAUCUUUUGACCUAGGCCACGCCCAUUUGCGUCUAUGAAUAUUUUUCGCUAAAUCGCGAAAACCGCAAAAAUGUUUUUUCGCUACUCCUCCCACAUUUCUCGACCAAUCAACACCAAACUUUACACACGGCAUCUUCAGACUUACACGAAAAGAAUUCCUGCAUUACUUUUUUGAUCCGACCUUCGACGACGAAACGGUUGCGUUUUGAAUUUUGGUUUAUUAGCUAAAUUAGACGUGGAAAAUCCAAAAUCCCAAAAAAAUCAAAAUUACACAUCGGAUCGACUCCAAAUUUUACACACAUGUUGGUGCUAACCUUACUGUCGUACGACAAAAACUUCGGAAAAUUUCGCCAUUAGGGGGCGCCAUAAACGAGGAAAUUGUAUAUCUUCUACAAAAUUUCGCCGCGAAAACGCUACACUGACUUCUCGCUACUCCUACCACAGUCAAAUCCUUUGUAUCCACAGGUUCAGGGUAGCGUUUUGAACACAUGCUUCGCGUUGUGCCGGCGAAACGCACAUUUCUUGUCGCGUUGUGCCGGCGAAAUGCACACUUCUUGGACCCCUGCAUAACUGCUUGCAGUUCUAGUUAUUAUUAUUAGGGGUCCAAGCCAACAGGUUGGAUCCCUAUUGUUUUUGUAAGGAUUUUUCUUCCUAUUAUUAUUAUACUUACCCCCCUAAAAGUGGUACCACAGCCCAAACCGUAAAUGGUGCACACACGCCAAUUACAUGACUAGAUCCCGAUCUCUUCGGACUACGCAGACGACAAAAUCCAGACACGCCGGUCACUAGGUGGCGCUAUACCAAGGAAUACGCGUUUGGGGCUAUAACUCCCACACCGAACCUCCCACAGUCAAAAACUUGUACG
Long non-coding RNA from Gadus morhua (Atlantic cod), 1742 nucleotides. The record is from Ensembl. Lineage: Eukaryota; Metazoa; Chordata; Actinopteri; Gadiformes; Gadidae.